CUAAGCACGAAACUUGCCCCGAGAUGAGUUCUCCCUGAGACUUAGAGUCUCCUGAAGGAACGUUGAAGACGACGACGUUGAUAGGCCGGGUGUGUAAGCGCAGCGAUGCGUUGAGCUAACCGGUACUAAUGAACCGUGAGGCUUAACCUUACAACGCCGAAG
Molecule: ribosomal RNA, 162 nt
Filed under: Salmonella enterica subsp. enterica serovar Infantis
Lineage: Bacteria; Pseudomonadati; Pseudomonadota; Gammaproteobacteria; Enterobacterales; Enterobacteriaceae
Also listed under: 5 other names
Description: partial 23S ribosomal RNA
Rfam family: Bacterial large subunit ribosomal RNA
Source: RNAcentral